This 253-nucleotide ribosomal RNA is filed under the name uncultured bacterium. RNAcentral describes it as "partial 16S ribosomal RNA". It matches the Rfam family "Bacterial small subunit ribosomal RNA", at positions 524 to 776 of the family's 1533-position model. The record is from RNAcentral.
UACGAAGGGUGCUAGCGUUGUUCGGAAUUACUGGGCGUAAAGGGUGCGUAGGCGGGUCUUUAAGUCAGGGGUGAAAUCCUGGAGCUCAACUCCAGAACUGCCUUUGAUACUGAGGAUCUUGAGUUCGGGAGAGGUGAGUGGAACUGCGAGUGUAGAGGUGAAAUUCGUAGAUAUUCGCAAGAACACCAGUGGCGAAGGCGGCUCACUGGCCCGAUACUGACGCUGAGGCACGAAAGCGUGGGGAGCAAACAGG